ACUGGCGAACGGGUGAGUAACACGUAGGCACCUGCCUUGGAGAUUGGGAUAACCCCGGGAAACCGGGACUAAUACCAAAUAAUUCCUUCGGGAUAAAGUGGGCUUCGGCUCACACUUCAAGAUGGGCCUGCGUCCGAUUAGCUUGUUGGUGAGGUAAUGGCUCACCAAGGCGAUGAUCGGUAGCUGGUCUGAGAGGAUGAUCAGCCACACUGGGAUUGAGAUACGGCCCAGACUCCUACGGGAGGCAGCAGUGGGGAAUUUUGCGCAAUGGACGAAAGUCUGACGCAGCAACGCCGCGUGAUCGAUGAAGCUUCUAGGAGUGUAAAGAUCUGUCGUGAGGGAAGAAAAAUCUGGAUGUAAAUAAUGUUCAGACUUGACGGUACCUCAUAAGAAAGCACCGGCUAACUUCGUGCCAGCAGCCGCGGUAAUACGAGGGGUGCUAGCGUUGUCCGGAAUUACUGGGCGUAAAGGGUCCGUAGGCGUCUUGCCAAGUUGAUCGUUAAAUCCACCGGCUUAACCGGUGUUCUGCGAUCAAAACUGGCAGGAUAGAAUAUGUGAGGGGAAUGUGGAAUUCCUGGUGUAGCGGUGACAUGCGUAGAUAUCAGAGGAACACCAAUGGCGAAGGCAGCAUCUGGCACAUAUGACGCUGAGGGACGAACGCGUGAGGAGCAAACAGGAAUAGAUACCCUGGGAGUUCACG
This 700-nucleotide ribosomal RNA is filed under the name uncultured bacterium. RNAcentral describes it as "bacterial SSU rRNA". It matches the Rfam family "Bacterial small subunit ribosomal RNA", at positions 94 to 799 of the family's 1533-position model. The record is from RNAcentral.